CAGUCGCCGCGGUAAUACGAAGGGGGCUAGCGUUGUUCGGAAUUACUGGGCGUAAAGCGCACGCAGGCGGCUCGAUAAAUUAGAAGUGAAAGCCUUGGGCUUAACCUGAGGAUUGCUUUUAAGACUGUCGAGCUAGAAUCCAGAAGAGGGUAGUGGAAUUCCGAGUGUAGAGGUGAAAUUCGUAGAUAUUCGGAAGAACACCAGUGGCGAAGGCGACUACCUGGUCUGGCAUUGACGCUCAUGUGCGAAAGCGUGGGGAGCAAACAGGAUUAGAUACCCCCGUAGUCCCUGUCUCUUAUAC
Molecule: ribosomal RNA, 301 nt
Filed under: uncultured bacterium
Lineage: Bacteria
Description: partial 16S ribosomal RNA
Rfam family: Bacterial small subunit ribosomal RNA
Source: RNAcentral